AAUAAACAAAAAGGAACUUACUAGAGCAAUUUUAUUUGAACCAUUGGUGAAAAAUUAAAGGUAUUUAAGUGAUAAGCAAUCAAAAACAUAAGUUAUUGGUAAAAUGCAAAUGUUGCACAUAUUUUCAAAAUAAAAGCAAUUUAUUGCUGUGAGAAACCAUUUCUGGUAGUCUCUAGCCUUCCAGACAUAUACCUCAUGCCCCUCAGCUGUUAGAUCUGCUUGGAAUCUGUAUUAGUUUUCUAUUGCUAUAUAACAAAUGACCACAAACUGGGCAAUUUACAACAACGUACAUUUGUUAUCUUGUAGUUUCUGUGGGUAAGGAGUCCAGGCAUGGCUUAGCUGGAUCCUCUACAAGAAUGCAAUCAAGGUGUCAGCUGGGCCUGGGUUCUCAUCUGAAGGUUCAACUGGAGAUGGAUCUGUUUCCAAGCUCACAUCAUUGUCAGCAGCAUUCAGUUCCUGGUGGAUUGCUGGACUGAGGGCCUCAGUUUCUUGCAGACUCUCAGCUCCUCACUGUGUGGUCCUCUCCACAUGACAGCAUACAAAAUGGCAGCUUGCUUCUUCAAAGCCAGCAAGGGAGAGAGAGUCUCCUUAUAUUCCUGGUUGCGAGUGUUGGGUUUUGGAGGAGGUUGAGUUUUGGAGAGGGCCUGGUGUCCACUGGAGAAUCAUCUGCAAAAUUGCUUGGUGUGUGGGGAAAACAAACAAACAAACAAACAAACAAAAACAAAAAACCCUUUAUACAUCUGGGAUCCCAGAAGUGUUUUUCUGUUUGUGCUCAGAAGAGAAAGCGCAUCCCACUCUCCUACUCUGAUUUCGAGACUGUUUCCUGAGGGUGGCAUAUGUUUUCUCACCUUCUGCCAAGCACAGAAAAUGACCACAAAUGGGCCCGGAGAUGGCUUUGAGCUUUGAUCUUUCGGAGCUCAUAUUAAGUAGUUGAAAAAUAUGCCCCAUGAAUCAAUCAAUGGGUCCAAAAGAUUUGAAGCUAAUUCCUCAAAAUGGGAACGAGAUGAUGACUAGGGCACAAAUAUGCUUGAAGUAGCUCAUUUCAGUAAGCCUUGAGAAUAAAGGGGCAUCCCACAGUGCUUUGAGGUCACUGUGUCACAGCCUGGUUGCAAUCAGAAUCACUGGGAACUGUAAAAACACUGAGCUUGAGUCUCAUGUCAGCUGUCUGGGGUGAGUACAGAGAGUUCUAAUGUGCAGCCAAGGCCGAGAAACACUUCUAGAUGAGUGGUUCUCAAAAUUGAGCAGGCAUCUAAAUCACCUAGAAG
Molecule: long non-coding RNA, 1265 nt
Filed under: Homo sapiens (human)
Lineage: Eukaryota; Metazoa; Chordata; Mammalia; Primates; Hominidae
Description: HSALNT0280371
Source: RNAcentral